Non-coding RNA from Pelobates cultripes (western spadefoot toad), 308 nucleotides. The record is from the annotation of a GenBank genome assembly. NCBI's taxonomy places the organism in Eukaryota, Metazoa, Chordata, Amphibia, Anura, Pelobatidae.
GUGUAAGUGUGUUUAACUGUGCAGGCAACAAUUUAGAAGUAGCAGAGUGUGGGUGUAAUCGUGUGGGGAGCAGCAUGUGUUGCAGUGUAUGUGUUCCUAUAAUUUUGUCCUCAGUCCUCCCCUUUUUUCUGCCUAUCCUCUGCCCUCUCACUGAAUAUGCUGUGUUGAGUUCCAUGUAUUAUUAUUAUUAUUGGUUAUUAUUUAUAUAGCGCCAGCUUAUUCUGCAGCGCUUUACAAUAAGAGGAGAAUUUACCAAAUGAGUCAAUACCAAAAUGUAACAGGAACAAUAGGUAGUUGAGGACCCUGCU